This 449-nucleotide ribosomal RNA is filed under the name uncultured bacterium. RNAcentral's name for it is "SSU rRNA". It matches the Rfam family "Bacterial small subunit ribosomal RNA", at positions 26 to 518 of the family's 1533-position model. The record is from RNAcentral.
AGAGCGAACGCUGGCGGCAGGCUUAACACAUGCAAGUCGAGCGGGCGUAGCAAUACGUCAGCGGCAGACGGGUGAGUAACGCGUGGGAACAUACCUUUUGGUUCGGAACAACCCAGGGAAACUUGGGCUAAAUACCGGAUAAGCCCUUACGGGGAAAGAUUUAUCGCCGAAAGAUCGGCCCGCGUCUGAUUAGCUAGUUGGUGAGGUAAUGGCUCACCAAGGCGACGAUCAGUAGCUGGUCUGAGAGGAUGAUCAGCCACAUUGGGACUGAGACACGGCCCAAACUCCUACGGGAGGCAGCAGUGGGGAAUAUUGGACAAUGGGCGCAAGCCUGAUCCAGCCAUGCCGCGUGAGUGAUGAAGGCCCUAGGGUUGUAAAGCUCUUUUGUGCGGGAAGAUAAUGACGGUACCGCAAGAAUAACGCCCGGCUAACUUCGUGCCAGCAGCCGC